RNAcentral lists this ribosomal RNA (301 nucleotides) under uncultured bacterium. RNAcentral describes it as "partial 16S ribosomal RNA". It matches the Rfam family "Bacterial small subunit ribosomal RNA", at positions 509 to 807 of the family's 1533-position model. The record is from RNAcentral.
CAGCAGCCACGGGAACACGGAGGGAGCUAGCGUUGUUCGGAAUUACUGGGCGUAAAGCGCGCGUAGGCGGUUACUCAAGUCAGAGGUGAAAGCCCGGGGCUCAACCCCGGAACUGCCUUUGAAACUAGGUGACUAGAAUCUUGGAGAGGUCAGUGGAAUUCCGAGUGUAGAGGUGAAAUUCGUAGAUAUUCGGAAGAACACCAGUGGCGAAGGCGACUGACUGGACAAGUAUUGACGCUGAGGUGCGAAAGCGUGGGGAGCAAACAGGAUUAGAUACCCGGGUAGUCCCUGUCUCUUAUAC